UACGUAGGUGGCAAGCGUUAUCCGGAAUUAUUGGGCGUAAAGAGCGCGCAGGUGGUUGAUUAAGUCUGAUGUGAAAGCCCACGGCUUAACCGUGGAGGGUCAUUGGAAACUGGUCGACUUGAGUGCAGAAGAGGGAAGUGGAAUUCCAUGUGUAGCGGUGAAAUGCGUAGAGAUAUGGAGGAACACCAGUGGCGAAGGCGGCUUCCUGGUCUGUAACUGACACUGAGGCGCAAAAGCGUGGGGAGCAAACAGGAUUAGAUACCCCCGGUA
RNAcentral lists this ribosomal RNA (270 nucleotides) under uncultured prokaryote. RNAcentral describes it as "partial 16S ribosomal RNA". It matches the Rfam family "Bacterial small subunit ribosomal RNA", at positions 524 to 792 of the family's 1533-position model. The record is from RNAcentral.